RNAcentral lists this microRNA (22 nucleotides) under Magallana gigas (Pacific oyster). RNAcentral's name for it is "Mgi-Mir-1984-P1_3p* (star (passenger))". The record is from RNAcentral. Lineage: Eukaryota; Metazoa; Mollusca; Bivalvia; Ostreida; Ostreidae.
AGGGACUGUCGAAUGGGAUUUG